Molecule: ribosomal RNA, 254 nt
Filed under: uncultured bacterium
Lineage: Bacteria
Description: partial 16S ribosomal RNA
Rfam family: Bacterial small subunit ribosomal RNA
Source: RNAcentral
UACGUAGGUGGCAAGCGUUGUCCGGAAUUACUGGGCGUAAAGGGCGCGCAGGCGGCUGCUCAAGUCAGGCGUGAAAGGCCUGGGCUCAACCCGGGAAUUGCGCUUGAGACUGGGCUGGCUUGAGUGCGGGAGAGGAUGGUGGAAUUCCCAGUGUAGAGGUGAAAUUCGUAGAUAUUCGCAAGAACACCAGUGGCGAAGGCGGCUCACUGGCCCGGUACUGACGCUGAGGUGCGAAAGCGUGGGGAGCAAACAGG